UUAUUUAUUUAUUUAUUUAUACUUUAGUUAUUACUCUAUUGGUAAAUACCUAGUUCCUGAUAUUCAUGCGUAGAUUGUAGCUUAAAAGCUUAUUUUUCACACAGUAAGUACGAGGGCUUCUUCAACCCAAAUAAUAAACCAUUCACCAUAGAUACACAAAUGUUAUGCAAAAUAUUGAAGAAGCGCCAGUUGAUAUGAUGACUUGCAACCAACAGAUAAAGAAAGCAGAGAGAAACCAAAGGAGUCUGAGAGAGAGAGAGUGAGAGAGA
Molecule: unclassified non-coding RNA, 269 nt
Filed under: Hevea brasiliensis (rubber tree)
Lineage: Eukaryota; Viridiplantae; Streptophyta; Magnoliopsida; Malpighiales; Euphorbiaceae
Source: RNAcentral